GAUGAACGCUGGCGGCGUGCCUAAUACAUGCAAGUCGAGCGAACAGACGAGGAGCUUGCUCCUCUGACGUUAGCGGCGGACGGGUGAGUAACACGUGGAUAACCUACCUAUAAGACUGGGAUAACUUCGGGAAACCGGAGCUAAUACCGGAUAAUAUAUUGAACCGCAUGGUUCAAUAGUGAAAGACGGUUUUGAUGUCACUUAUAGAUGGAUCCGCGCCGCAUUAGCUAGUUGGUAAGGUAACGGCUUACAAAGGCAACGAUGCGUAGCCGACCUGAGAGGGUGAUCGGCCACACUGGAACUGAGACACGGUCCAGACUCCUACGAGAGGCAGCAGUAGGGUAUCUUCCGCAAUGGGCGAAAGCCUGACGGAGCAACGCCGCGUGAGUGAUGAAGGUCUUCGGAUCGUAAAACUCUGUUAUUAGGGAAGAACAAAUGUGUAAGUAACUAUGCACGUCUUGACGGUACCUAAUCAGAAAGCCACGGCUAACUACGUG
Molecule: ribosomal RNA, 497 nt
Filed under: uncultured bacterium
Lineage: Bacteria
Description: partial 16S ribosomal RNA
Rfam family: Bacterial small subunit ribosomal RNA
Source: RNAcentral